CACUAUCGUUAACUGAAUACAUAGGUUAACGAGGCGAACCGGGGGAACUGAAACAUCUAAGUACCCCGAGGAAAAGAAAUCAACCGAGAUUCCCCCAGUAGCGGCGAGCGAACGGGGAGCAGCCCAGAGUCUGAAUCAGCUUGUGUGUUAGUGGAACGGUCUGGAAAGUCCGACGGUACAGGGUGAUAGUCCCGUACACCAAAAUGCACAGGCUGUGAACUCGAAGAGUAGGGCGGGACACGUGGUAUCCUGUCUGAAUAUGGGGGGACCAUCCUCCAAGGCUAAAUACUCCUGACUGACCGAUAGUGAACCAGUACCGUGAGGGAAAGGCGAAAAGAACCCCGGCGAGGGGAGUGAAAAAGAACCUGAAACCGUGUACGUACAAGCAGUGGGAGCACCUU
Molecule: ribosomal RNA, 401 nt
Filed under: Klebsiella aerogenes
Lineage: Bacteria; Pseudomonadati; Pseudomonadota; Gammaproteobacteria; Enterobacterales; Enterobacteriaceae
Also listed under: 2 other names
Description: partial 23S ribosomal RNA
Rfam family: Bacterial large subunit ribosomal RNA
Source: RNAcentral